AGUGAACGCUGGCGGUAGGCCUAACACAUGCAAGUCGAACGGCAGCACAGGAGAGCUCGCUCUCUGGGUGGCGAGUGGCGGACGGGUGAGGAAUACAUCGGAAUCUACUCUGUCGUGGGGGAUAACGGAGGGAAACUUACGCUAAUACCGCAUAAGACCUACGGGUGAAAGCAGGGGACCUUCUGGCCUUGCGCGAUUGAAUGAGCCGAUGUCGGAUUAGCUAGUUGGCGGGGUAAAGGCCCACCAAGGGGACGAUCCGUAGCUGGUCUGAGAGGAUGAUCAGCCACACUGUAACUGAGACACGGUCCAGACUCCUACGGGAGGCAGCAGUGGGGAAUAUUGGACAAUGGGCGCAAGCCUGAUCCAGCCAUACCGCGUGGGUGAAGAAGGCCUUCGGGUUGUAAAGCCCUUUUGUUGGGAAAGAAAUCCAGCUGGCUAAUACCCGGUUGGGAUGACGGUACCCAAAGAAUAAGCACCGGCUAACUUCGUGCCAGCCGCCGCCGUAA
Molecule: ribosomal RNA, 506 nt
Filed under: uncultured bacterium
Lineage: Bacteria
Description: partial 16S ribosomal RNA
Rfam family: Bacterial small subunit ribosomal RNA
Source: RNAcentral